AUGCUACGCGCCCAGCUCGCGCGUGCCCAAGCUCGCUUCAAGAAACAAGCUGACCGCCACCGCGCGGAAUGCGCCUUCGACAUCGGCGAACAAGUUCUCCUCAAGUUGCAGCCGUACGCGCAAUCAACCAUCGCCAACCGCCCGUGCCGCAAGCUCUCCUACAAGUUCUUCGGCCCCUUCGAGGUGACGGAGCGGAUCGGAACCCUGACAUGUCGCCUGCAGUUGCCUCCAGACAGCCGCAUCCAUCUGGUAUUUCACGUCUCCCAGCUCAAGCCCUUCACCCCAGAUUACACUCCAGUCUUCGCCAAGCUGCCGCGAGUGCCCGAUCUCACUGGUGGUGAAACGGAACCCGCGGCGAUCUUGGAGCGGGGGAUGAUGAAGAAGGGCGAUGCACCAGUUGUGCAACUCCGUGUCCAGUGGGCAAACAUGCCACCAUCAGCCACCACUUGGGAAUAUUAUGAAGUACUUUGCCAGCGCUACCCAUCAGCCUGUAUCUGGGACGGAGCUCCAUCUCAGGAGGAGGGCAAUGUCACGCCUACUGAUGCAUCAGUAGCGGACUGA
RNAcentral lists this ribosomal RNA (561 nucleotides) under Triticum aestivum (bread wheat). Its description in RNAcentral is "partial small subunit ribosomal RNA". Lineage: Eukaryota; Viridiplantae; Streptophyta; Magnoliopsida; Poales; Poaceae. The record is from RNAcentral.